AUUGAACGCUGGCGGAAUGCUUUACACAUGCAAGUCGAACGGCAGCACGGACUUCGGUCUGGUGGCGAGUGGCGAACGGGUGAGUAAUACAUCGGAACGUGCCCAGUCGUGGGGGAUAACGUAGCGAAAGCUACGCUAAUACCGCAUACGAUCUAAGGAUGAAAGCGGGGGAUCGCAAGACCUCGCUCGAUUGGAGCGGCCGAUGGCAGAUUAGGUAGUUGGUAGGGUAAAGGCCUACCAAGCCGACGAUCUGUAGCUGGUCUGAGAGGAUGAUCAGCAACGAUGGGACUGAGACACGGCCCAGACUCCUACGGGAGGCAGCAGUGGGGAAUUUUGGACAAUGGGCGCAAGCCUGAUCAAGCCAUUCCGCGUGCAGGAUGAAGGCCUUCGGGUUGUAAACUGCUUUUGUACAGAACGAAAAGGCUCUGGUUAAUACCCGGGGCUCAUGACGGUACUGUAAGAAUAAGCACCGGCUAACUACGUGCCAGCCGCCGCCGUAA
RNAcentral lists this ribosomal RNA (500 nucleotides) under uncultured bacterium. RNAcentral describes it as "partial 16S ribosomal RNA". It matches the Rfam family "Bacterial small subunit ribosomal RNA", at positions 30 to 523 of the family's 1533-position model. The record is from RNAcentral.